RNAcentral lists this ribosomal RNA (253 nucleotides) under uncultured bacterium. RNAcentral describes it as "partial 16S ribosomal RNA". It matches the Rfam family "Bacterial small subunit ribosomal RNA", at positions 524 to 776 of the family's 1533-position model. The record is from RNAcentral.
UACGUAGGGUGCGAGCGUUAAUCGGAAUUACUGGGCGUAAAGCGUGCGCAGGCGGUUCGCUAAGACCGAUGUGAAAUCCCCGGGCUUAACCUGGGAACUGCAUUGGUGACUGGCGGGCUAGAGUAUGGCAGAGGGGGGUAGAAUUCCACGUGUAGCAGUGAAAUGCGUAGAGAUGUGGAGGAAUACCAAUGGCGAAGGCAGCCCCCUGGGUUAACACUGACGCUCAUGCACGAAAGCGUGGGGAGCAAACAGG